CAUCCUUCCUCUAGCCUUACAAAGGACGAGUCAAAAAGGCCAAAGUACAAAGAGCUACUGAAAGAUCCGUUCAUCCAGAUGUACGAGGAGCGCUCGGUGGACGUGGCGAGUUACGUGUGCCGGCUCAUGGAUCAGAUGCCGACGUCUCCCAGCUCACCGAUGUAUAUGGACUGAUGGCACGACAAGACACACAAACACAUCACUAAAUAUUCACCAUGCAGUCUGCAACAAUAGAAGCAUUAAAAAAAAAAAGAAGAAAACAAAACAAAUCCUUGUGUACAUUUGCUUGGUCCCCUUAUUG
Molecule: long non-coding RNA, 301 nt
Organism: Trematomus bernacchii (emerald rockcod)
Lineage: Eukaryota; Metazoa; Chordata; Actinopteri; Perciformes; Nototheniidae
Exons: 2
Source: RefSeq, a predicted model, not a curated record